UACGAAGGGGGCGAGCGUUGUUCGGAAUUACUGGGCGUAAAGGGCGCGUAGGCGGCGAUCCUAGUCAGAUGUGAAAGUCCUGGGCUUAACCUGGGGACUGCAUUUGAUACUGGAUUGCUUGAAUGCAGGAGAGGAUAGCGGAAUUCCCAGUGUAGAGGUGAAAUUCGUAGAUAUUGGGAAGAACACCGGUGGCGAAGGCGGCUACCUGGACAGAAACUGACGCUGAGGCGCGAAAGCUAGGGGAGCAAACAGG
Molecule: ribosomal RNA, 253 nt
Filed under: uncultured bacterium
Lineage: Bacteria
Description: partial 16S ribosomal RNA
Rfam family: Bacterial small subunit ribosomal RNA
Source: RNAcentral